This 245-nucleotide ribosomal RNA is filed under the name uncultured bacterium. Its description in RNAcentral is "partial 16S ribosomal RNA". It matches the Rfam family "Bacterial small subunit ribosomal RNA", at positions 15 to 253 of the family's 1533-position model. The record is from RNAcentral.
GAUCAUGGCUCAGGAUGAACGCUGGCGGCGUGCUUAACACAUGCAAGUCGAACGGACUUUACAUGAAGCCUAGCGAUUGUAGAGUUAGUGGCGGACGGGUGAGUAACGCGUGAAUAACCUGCCCUGUACCGGGGGACAACAGUUGGAAACGGCUGCUAAUACCGCAUAAGCGCACGGUUCCGCAUGGAACAGUGUGAAAAACUCCGGUGGUACAGGAUGGAUUCGCGUCUGAUUAGCCAGUUGGG